This 497-nucleotide ribosomal RNA is filed under the name uncultured bacterium. Its description in RNAcentral is "partial 16S ribosomal RNA". It matches the Rfam family "Bacterial small subunit ribosomal RNA", at positions 28 to 507 of the family's 1533-position model. The record is from RNAcentral.
GAUGAACGCUGGCGGCGUGCCUAAUACAUGCAAGUCGAGCGAACGGACGAGAAGCUUGCUUUUCUGAUGUUAGCGGCGGACGGGGGAGUAACACGUGGAUAACCUACCUAUAAGACUGGGAUAACUUCGGGAAACCGGAGCUAAUACCGGAUAAUAUUUUGAACCGCAUGGUUCAAACGUGAAAGACGGUCUUGCUGUCACUUAUAGAUGGAUCCGCGCUGCAUUCGCUAGUUGGUAAGGUAACGGGUUACCAAGGCAACGAUGCAUAGCCGACCUGAUAGGGUGUUCGGCCCCACUGGAACUGAGACACGGUCCAGACGCCUACGGGAGGCAGCAGUAGGGAAUCUUCCGCAAUGGGCGAAAGCCUGACGGAGCAACGCCGCGUGAGUUAUGAAGGUCUUCGGGUCGUAAAACUCUGUUAUUAGGGAAGAACAUAUGUGUAAGUAACUGUGCACAUCUUGACGGUACCUAAUCAGAAAGCCACGGCUAACUACGUG